UACGGAGGGGGCUAGCGUUGUUCGGAAUUACUGGGCGUAAAGCGCACGUAGGCGGACUGUUAAGUCGGGGGUGAAAUCCCGGGGCUCAACCCCGGAAUGGCCUUCGAUACUGGCGGUCUUGAGGUCUGGAGAGGUGAGUGGAAUUCCGAGUGUAGCGGUGAAAUUCGUAGAUAUUCGGAGGAACACCAGUGGCGAAGGCGGCUCACUGGCUCGAUACUGACGCUGAGGUGCGAAAGCGUGGGGAGCAAACAGG
This 253-nucleotide ribosomal RNA is filed under the name uncultured bacterium. RNAcentral's name for it is "partial 16S ribosomal RNA". It matches the Rfam family "Bacterial small subunit ribosomal RNA", at positions 524 to 776 of the family's 1533-position model. The record is from RNAcentral.